Molecule: ribosomal RNA, 402 nt
Filed under: uncultured bacterium
Lineage: Bacteria
Description: bacterial SSU rRNA
Rfam family: Bacterial small subunit ribosomal RNA
Source: RNAcentral
UGGGGAAUAUUGCACAAUGGGCGAAAGCCUGAUGCAGCAACGCCGCGUGAGUGAUGAAGGCCUUCGGGUUGUAAAGCUCUGUCUUCUGGGACGAUAAUGACGGUACCAGAGGAGGAAGCCACGGCUAACUACGUGCCAGCAGCCGCGGUAAUACGUAGGUGGCAAGCGUUGUCCGGAUUUACUGGGCGUAAAGGAUGCGUAGGCGGAUACUUAAGUCAGAUGUGAAAAUCCCGGGCUUAACUUGGGAACUGCAUUUGAAACUGGGUAUCUAGAGUGCGGGAGAGGAAAGUGGAAUUCCUAGUGUAGCGGUGAAAUGCGUAGAGAUUAGGAAGAACACCAGCGGCGAAGGCGACUUUCUGAACCGUAACUGACGCUGAGGCAUGAAAGCGUGGGGAGCAAACA